AGAAUCUUGUUAUUUGCAGUUGGGAAAGAUAAUGUUCUUUAAUAGAAAGCAUCAUAUUGUUUACAGUACUAGAAACCUCUAGUACAGAAUUCUAUGUACAAUUUUUCACCAACUUACAAGUCCCAGCAUUCCAUAGUAUAGAGAUAUGGUAGUUAAAGUAGUACAAAACUGCUUUGACUGUGCUGUGUGGACAAAUCCUAGGGGAGAAGUAGGAAGCGCAUAGUUGUGACGACGCGAGUGGCGCCAUCUAUAUGUUGAACUGUAAGUUGCAAGAUUUGAAUUGUUGUAUCAUGCCUGAUUUUGCCUUUACCCUGUAAAUGUAGUUGGAUUGAUUGGUUAUUUAUAGCUGUCAAUCAAUGUUGUUUGCACCAGUUAUAUUGCUCCCUCAGCUCAAUUGUUUGACUCCACCCUUUCCUGGAGUGGGUCAGUGUUUUCUUUUUCAUUCCACUAUCAAGCUUUCUACCAGAUGGACGUGAGAGAGAGACUUGGCUCUAAAAGCCCUUGAUUAAGUUACCUCUCAGCACCAAUUCUGAGGUUCUUACCCUUGAGACUUAUGCUUCAUGUUCAGGGCCAACCUGGACGAUGUUGAGGAGUCUCAAGUGCCUUCAGAUCAGUUCUUUGGCACCAGAGGAAGACUGUGUCUUCAAACAUAGGCCACUUGGACUGAGGCUGAGGCUCCAGCAUUCACAGCCAUUGAGAAAGAGGGACCUGGAAAAGCUUCUCAGCUGCAGAGCUCCUUGGACUUAAGACAACCAAAGACUAAGAACAGGGGAAGAAGAUUGUGCAGGAAUUGGAAUAUUGUGGGGGCCUGGGGAAGCUUACUUCCAGAUCUGUGAUGUUCGCUGCGAAAAAGCUAUUCAGAAUCUGGUUGCUGUGACCAUUGAACUUUAUGGACGCCUUGACUGCCUGGUGAACAAUGCUGGAAUCGUAUGCUCUGCCUUACCUCCGAAAAACAAAAGGGAACAUCAUCAAUCUUUCCAGUCUUUUGCAUAUCAUUGGGGACAAGCGCAGUGUGCCCUAUGUCUCAAGCAAGGUAGGCUAGAGCAAUAGGACCUGAAAUUAUCCCCACAUCCCCUAUUGUUCUAAAGCAAGGGUUGCCAACAUUUCUUAAUGACUUUAGCAGCAGUGACUUUAGCAGCAAGCAUUGAAGCUUGUCUCCAAGCCUCUGUUAAAGGCCACAAGAAUAGGCCAGGUUGUUAUUGUUUCCUUCUAGUGAAAUGCUGCCCAAUGGUCAGAAAAGUUCCGUUUGGAGACUACAGGUGUUACCCCUUGUACUACAUUUGGAACAGCUGAGGAAUGAUGAAAGCAGGGAUUUUCUUUGGUGGCCCCAUCCUUAUUAAAAACCAGUUUUCCUAGCUCCCUUUUUGAUUAUGGUCAGAGGGACAAAAAGUUUUUCAACUCACUGUGAAAUAUAAGUCUUUCUUUUAUGUUGUGAUUUUUAGUGUUCUGGCUUUAUUUUUUCA
This is a long non-coding RNA of Anolis carolinensis (green anole), 1463 nucleotides long. RefSeq lists it as uncharacterized. The transcript has 4 exons. The record is from RefSeq and is a predicted model, not a curated record. Lineage: Eukaryota; Metazoa; Chordata; Lepidosauria; Squamata; Anolidae.